Molecule: ribosomal RNA, 464 nt
Filed under: uncultured bacterium
Lineage: Bacteria
Description: partial 16S ribosomal RNA
Rfam family: Bacterial small subunit ribosomal RNA
Source: RNAcentral
GACGAACGCUGGCGGCGUGCUUAACACAUGCAAGUCGAACGGUAAGGCCCCAGCUUGCUGGGGUACACGAGUGGCGAACGGGUGAGUAACACGUGGGUGACCUGCCCCGCACUUCGGGAUAAGCCUGGGAAACUGGGUCUAAUACCGGAUACGAACGCACCGUGAGGGUGUGGUGGAAAGUUUUUCGGUGUGGGAUGGGCCCGCGGCCUAUCAGCUUGUUGGUGGGGUAAUGGCCUACCAAGGCGGCGACGGGUAGCCGGCCUGAGAGGGUGGACGGCCACAUUGCGACUGCGACACGGCCCAGACUCCUACGGGAGGCAGCAGUGUGGAAUAUUGCACGAUGGGCGGAAGCCUAAUGCAGCGACGCCGCGUGGGGGAUGACGGCCUUCGGGUUGUAAACUCCUUUCACCAUCGACGAAGGUUUUCUGACGGUAAAUGGAGAAGAAGCACCGGCUAACUACGUG